Non-coding RNA from Callithrix jacchus (white-tufted-ear marmoset), 3409 nucleotides. NCBI's taxonomy places the organism in Eukaryota, Metazoa, Chordata, Mammalia, Primates, Cebidae. The record is from RefSeq and is a predicted model, not a curated record.
AGAGGAGGAAAUGGGAGCGAUGCCAGGGGCGAGUGCUAGAGACGUCUCAGAAGCCCGCUGGCUCCCUCCAGAGAAACUGUGCGAGAACCGUCCCAAGAAGCUCGUUGCCGGCAUUUUUGGGUUGCGCGUCCCCCACCCUCACCAAUAGCACAGCCCAGCCGCGCCCGGGUUCCGGGUGAGGACUCGGGGUCCACUCAGCUCCGCAGGACUGCCGCUUUAGUAUUCUGUCCUCAGGGGCUGGGAGUGGUGUUUUGGGCUCUGCUCUUCUGUGCACCAGGAUCAUGCUUAAUGCCUGCACCUUUCUCGUCUACCCUGGCUUCUGGUGACUCUUUAAAGUAUAGGUUCAUGGAGUUGAAGAGCUGCUCAGUAGAGAGCUUCUCAUUUCACUUCUGCCCACGUUUUAGAGGGCCACCAAGGCAAUACUUCUAUGAGUCCACAAGAACCACAGUGUUAUUGGACUUGGAGCUAAAGUCUCUUUGAGCACCUGGAAUACCUUCCCAAAAAGAUGGGCACAAACAAGCCCAGACUGCAAAGACUACAGUAAAUACCAAACUCUUCUAUGUGCAGACACCGAUGAACAUCCACAAGCAUCAAGACCAUCCAGGAAGACAUGAUGCCACCAAAUGAACCAAAUCAGGCACCUGGGACUAAUCCUGGAGAAACACAGAUGUGACCUUUCAGACAGAAAAUUCAAAAAAGAUGUUUUGAGGAAACGAAGAAAUUCACAAUAACACAGAGAAGGAACUCAGAAUUCUAUAAGAUAAAUUUAACAAAGAGAUUGAAAUAACUAAAAAUAAGCAGAAAUUCUGGAGUUGAAAAUGUAAUUGACAUGACAUACUAAAGAAUGCAUUAAAGUUCCUUAAUAGCAGAAUUGAUGAAGCAGAAGAAAGAAUUAGUGAGCUUGAAGAGAGGCUAUUUGAAAACACAUAGGCCAGGCGUGGUGGCUCAUGCCUGUAAUCCUAGCACUUUGAGAGGCUGAGGUGGGCAGAUCACUUGAGGUCAGGAGUUCGAGACCAGCCUGGCCAACAUGGUGAAACCCCAUCUUUAUUUAAAAAAAAAAAACACAUAGGCAGAAGAGACAGAAGAAAAAAGAAUAGAAAAUAAUUUUUAAAACACCCACAAGAUCUAGAAAAUAGCCUCUAAAGGGCAAAUCUAAGUGUUAUUAGCCUUACUAGAGGAAGUAGAGAAAGAUAUAGGGGUAGAAAGUUUAUUCAAGGAAUAAUAAUAGAACUUCUAAAACCUAGAGAAAAAUAUCAACAUUCAAGAACAAGGUUAUAGAACACCAAGCAGAUUUAGCCCAAAGAAGACUACCUCAAUAAUAAUCAAACUCUCAAAGGUCAAGGAUAAAGGAUCCUAAAAGCAGCAAGAGAAAAGAACCAAAUAAUAUACAGUGGAGGCUGGGCACAGUGCCUUAUGCCACUGCCUGACUCCCAGCACUUUGGGAGGCCAAAGCAGGCAGAUCAUUUGAGGUCAGAAGUUUGAGACUGGCCUGACCAACAUGGUGAAACCCUGUCUCUACUAAAAAUAGGAAAAAAUUAGCCAGGCAAGGUGGUGCACAUCUAUAGUCCCAGCUACUCGGGAGGCUGAGGCAGGAGAAUUACUUGAACCUGGGAGGUAGAGGUUGCAGUAAGCUGAGAUCACACCACUGCACUCUAAUCUGGGUGACAGAGCAAGACUCUAUCUCAAAAAAAAAAAAUAAAAACAACAACAACAAAAACAUACAAUGGAGUUCUAAAACAUGUCUGGCAGUAGGCUUUUAAGUGAAAACCUUACAGGCCAGGAAAGAAUGGCAUGACAUAUUUAGGGUGCUAAAGGAAAAAAAAUUUACCCUAGAAUAAUAUGUCUGGUAAAAAUGUUCUUCAAGGCCAGGCGCGGUGGCUCAAGCCUGUAAUCCCAGCACUUUGGGAGGCCGAGGUGGGUGGAUCACGAGGUCUAGAGAUCGAGACCAUCCUGGUCAACAUGGUGAAACCCCGUCUCUACUAAAAAUACAAAAAAUUAGCUGGGCAUGGUGGCGCAGGCCUGUAAUCCCAGCUACUCAGGAGGCUGAGGCAAGAGAAUUGCCUGAACCCAGGAGGCGGAGGUGCGGUGAGCCAAGAUCCCGCCAUUGCACUCCAGCCUGGGUAACAAGAGCGACCCUCCAUCUCAAAAAAACAAAAUAAAAAUGUUCUUCAAACAUGAAGAAGAAAUAAAGACUUUCCCAGACAAACAAAAGCUGAAGGAUUUCAUCAACACAGACCUGUCCUACAAGAAAUGCUAAGGGGAGUUCUUCAAUUUGAAAGGAAAGGAGCAGUAAGAAAUCAUUUGAAGGGUCUUGCUCUGUAACCCAAGCUGGAGUGCAGUAGCGUGAUCAAGACUCACUGCAGCCUCGACCUCCUGGGCCCAGGUGGUUCUCCCACCUCAGCUUCCCAAGUAGCUGGGACUACAGGCUUGCACCACCACGCCUGGCUAAUUGUUUUGAAUUUUAGCAGAGAUGAGAUUUUGAUAUGUUGCUCAGGCUGUUCUGGAACUCCUGGGCUCAGGUGAUUCACACAUCUCAGCCUCCCAAAUUGCUGGGAUUAUGGGCAUGAGCCACUGCACCAGGCCUACUUUUUCUAAAUAUAAACUCCUCUUACUGUAUCUUCAUCUCAGGUAACAGUGUGAUCAUCUACCCAGUCUCCCAAGCAAGAUACCUGUGAGUCAGCCUGGACUCCACCCUCUGCCCUUAUCCCACGCAAUCCGUGCAUCACACAGUCUUCCUGAAGCCUUCCCCGCCUCUCCAUUCCUGCUGCCAUUGCUUCCUUCAGGCUUUCUUUGUCUCUCAUCAGGACUCAGCAGCGUCUCCUCGCUGCCUCCACUUUCUCUUCCAUUCAAUGCAUCCUCCACAACGCCUACUGAGUUUGUUUCCGAAAAGAGCAACCUCAAGACUCAGCUGCUCUGCCUGAAGACCUCUGCUGCCUCCAGCAGAAAGUUCCACCUUUUGAAACAGAUAUGAUCCUCCAGUCAGGCCAAAGCAGCCAUCAUACAAUUGGGUCCUGUGCUGCUAUGAUUCUCGGUCUGGAAGGGUCCUUAAAGAUAUUCCAGCCAACGUCCUGGGUGAUGCCGGAAUUCCUGCUAGACUUUAGGCUCAAUCCACACACUCCCAAAACUAGGAAAGCCCUCAGAGACCUGCGGAUCUGGUAUCCAGGACCUACUCCUGCCUUCUCUGGGGGAAUUCUCCCCACUGCCUCCUUUCUUUGCCUGGUCCAAGUCCUAGCUCCCAGAAAAAGGUCCAUACCUGGGACACCUCCACUUCCUCUUCCUCCAGAGCCAGCUUAAAGUAAGGAGGCGGCAAAAGGCCAAGAAGCUCAGAAAGUCCCCCAGAUUCAUCUGUGGUCAAGCCAGCUUCAUUCAAAUGAACUUUGUUCCCUGAGGAUUUGUUCAUGGAGGAGUA